GCCCAGAGAGGUGGGCAACUACCACUCAGGGCCGGAAAGUUCUCCAAACUUGGUCAUUUAGAGGAAGUAAAAGUCGUAACAAGGUCUCCGUUGGUGAACCAGCGGAGGGAUCAUUA
This 116-nucleotide ribosomal RNA is filed under the name Stachybotrys cf. elegans HGUP 0208. Its description in RNAcentral is "partial 18S ribosomal RNA". It matches the Rfam family "Eukaryotic small subunit ribosomal RNA", at positions 1718 to 1831 of the family's 1831-position model. The record is from RNAcentral. Lineage: Eukaryota; Fungi; Ascomycota; Sordariomycetes; Hypocreales; Stachybotryaceae.